Molecule: transfer RNA, 69 nt
Filed under: Ictidomys tridecemlineatus (thirteen-lined ground squirrel)
Lineage: Eukaryota; Metazoa; Chordata; Mammalia; Rodentia; Sciuridae
Description: Spermophilus tridecemlineatus (thirteen-lined ground squirrel) tRNA
Rfam family: tRNA
About the family: Transfer RNA (tRNA) molecules are approximately 80 nucleotides in length.
Source: Rfam by way of RNAcentral
GGGGUUGUGGCUCAGUAGUAGAGUGCUUGCCUAGCAUGCAUGAGGCACUGGGUUCGAUCCUUAGCACCA